Molecule: ribosomal RNA, 643 nt
Filed under: uncultured bacterium
Lineage: Bacteria
Description: bacterial SSU rRNA
Rfam family: Bacterial small subunit ribosomal RNA
Source: RNAcentral
CGCGGCCUAUCAGCUUGUUGGUGAGGUAAUGGCUCACCAAGGCUUCGACGGGUAGCCGGCCUGAGAGGGCGACCGGCCACACUGGGACCGAGAUACGGCCCAGACUCCUACGGGAGGCAGCAGUGGGGAAUAUUGCACAAUGGGCGCAAGCCUGAUGCAGCAACGCCGCGUGCGGGAUGACGGCCUUCGGGUUGUAAACCGCUUUCAGUAGGGACGAAGCUAACGUGACGGUACCUACAGAAGAAGGACCGGCUAACUACGUGCCAGCAGCCGCGGUGAUACGUAGGGUCCGAGCGUUGUCCGGAAUUAUUGGGCGUAAAGGGCUUGUAGGCGGUCCGUCGCGUCAGGAGUGAAAACUCGGGGCUUAACCCCGAGCCUGCUUUUGAUACGGGCGGACUAGAGGGAUGCAGGGGAGAACGGAAUUCCUGGUGGAGCGGUGGAAUGCGCAGAUAUCAGGAGGAACACCGGUGGCGAAGGCGGUUCUCUGGGCAUCACCUGACGCUGAGAAGCGAAAGCGUGGGGAGCAAACAGGCUUAGAUACCCUGGUAGUCCACGCCGUAAACGGUGGGCACUAGGUGUGGGGGACAUUCCACGUUCUCCGUGCCGAAGCUAACGCAUUAAGUGCCCCGCCUGGGGAGUACGG